CCUACGGGAGGCAGCAGUGAGGAAUAUUGGUCAAUGGCCGGAAGGCUGAACCAGCCAAGCCGCGUGAAGGACGAAGGUGCCAAGCAUUGUAAACUUCUUUUGUCAAGGGACAAAAUCAGGCUCGAGAGCCUGACCGAGGGUACUUGAAGAAAAAGCAUCGGCUAACUCCGUGGCAGCAGCCGCGGUAAUACGGGGGAUGCGGUCGUUAUCCGGAUUUAUUGGGUUUAAAGGGUGCGUAGGCGGGCUGUUAAGUCAGCGGUAAAAGCCCGGGGCUCAACCCCGGCGAGCCGUUGAAACUGGCUGUCUUGAGAGGGCGAGAGGUAUGCGGAAUGCGCAGUGUAGCGGUGAAAUGCUUAGAUAUUGCGCAGAACUCCGAUUGCGAAGGCAGCAUACCGGCGGCGAUCUGACGCUGAGGCACGAAAGCGUGGGUAUCGAACAGGAUUAGAUACCCUAGUAGUC
Molecule: ribosomal RNA, 459 nt
Filed under: uncultured bacterium
Lineage: Bacteria
Description: partial 16S ribosomal RNA
Rfam family: Bacterial small subunit ribosomal RNA
Source: RNAcentral